UAAUACGGAGGGUGCAAGCGUUACUCGGAAUCACUGGGCGUAAAGCGCGCGCAGGCGGUCUUUUAAGUUGGAUGUGAAAGCCUACGGCUCAACCGUAGAACUGCAUCCAAAACUAUUAGACUAGAGUGUGGGAGAGGAAGAUGGAAUUAGUUGUGUAGGGGUAAAAUCCGUAGAGAUAACUAGGAAUACCAAAAGCGAAGGCAAUCUUCUGGAACACUACUGACGCUGAGGCGCGAAAGCGUGGGGAGCAAACAGGAUUAGAUACCCUGGUAGUCCACGCAGUAAACGAUGAAUGUUAGUCGUCGGGGGCCUAGUGUCUUCGGUGAUGCAGCUAACGCAUUAAACAUUCCGCCUGGGGAGUACGGUCGCAAGAUUA
RNAcentral lists this ribosomal RNA (376 nucleotides) under uncultured Campylobacterota bacterium. RNAcentral's name for it is "bacterial SSU rRNA". It matches the Rfam family "Bacterial small subunit ribosomal RNA", at positions 521 to 896 of the family's 1533-position model. The record is from RNAcentral. Lineage: Bacteria; Pseudomonadati; Campylobacterota.